This 777-nucleotide ribosomal RNA is filed under the name uncultured Neocallimastigales. RNAcentral describes it as "partial large subunit ribosomal RNA". It matches the Rfam family "Eukaryotic large subunit ribosomal RNA", at positions 23 to 647 of the family's 3401-position model. Lineage: Eukaryota; Fungi; Neocallimastigomycota; Neocallimastigomycetes; Neocallimastigales. The record is from RNAcentral.
AGAGAGAGACAUGCGCGCAUAUCAAUAAGCGGAGGAAAAGAAACUAACAAGGAUUCCCCUAGUAACGGCGAGUGAAGCGGGAAGAGCUCAAAUUUGAAAUCUUAAAGGGUUUCCCUUUACGAAUUGUAGUUUAAAGAAGUGUUUUCUGUUGAGGUUUUGGUAAAAGUUCUUUGGAAUAGGACAUCAUAGAGGGUGAGAAUCCCGUAUUUGACCUUUACUUUCAACUUUGUGAUACACUUUCAAAGAGUCGGAUUGUUUGGGAAUGCAGUCCAAAAUGGGAUGGUAAAUUUCAGUCUAAAGCUAAAUAUUGGCGAGAGACCGAUAGCGAACAAGUACCGUGAGGGAAAGAUGAAAAGAACUUUGAAAAGAGAGUUAAACAGUACGUGAAAUUGUCAAAAGGGAAGCGUUUGACACCAGUGUUGUUUUUCUGAAAAUCAAUUAAAGAACUGUUUAUGCUAAGCUGUUUAGACUUUAUCAGCUAUCUGUUUAGUUUUGAGCUUUUCUUUAAUGCACUUUUCAGUUAACAAGUCAACAUCAAUUUCUUUUGCUGUAAAAAAGCUUGAGGAAGGUGGCUUGAGAUUCGUCCUUAAGUGUUUAUAGCCUCUUGCCUAUGCAGUCGGAGAGAUUGAGGUCUGCAGCGUAGAUCCUUCGGGGCUAAAUGCAUUUGUGCUAAGUUAUAGCAUUUUAUAGACAACUUGUUGACUAUGAUUUGUCUUGUAGCUUACUCGCUUAUGUUAUUUUACCUACGCUUAGGAUGUUGACGCAUGAGAUAUACGC